UAUGUGAUAGUGUCACCAACU
RNAcentral lists this non-coding RNA (21 nucleotides) under Arabidopsis thaliana (thale cress). The record is from RNAcentral. Lineage: Eukaryota; Viridiplantae; Streptophyta; Magnoliopsida; Brassicales; Brassicaceae.